RNAcentral lists this transfer RNA (69 nucleotides) under Aiolopus thalassinus. RNAcentral describes it as "tRNA-Ser". It matches the Rfam family "tRNA". From Rfam's summary of the family: Transfer RNA (tRNA) molecules are approximately 80 nucleotides in length. Their secondary structure includes four short double-helical elements and three loops (D, anti-codon, and T loops). The record is from RNAcentral. Lineage: Eukaryota; Metazoa; Arthropoda; Insecta; Orthoptera; Acrididae.
AGUUAAUUAGUUUAUAAAAACAUAUGUUUUGAAAACAUAAGAUUAGAAGGAUAAAACCUCUAUUAACUU